GGUUCCAUAGUGUAGUGGUCAUCACGUCUGCUUUACACGCAGAAGGUCCUGGGUUCGAUCCCCAGUGGGAUCA
This is a non-coding RNA of Toxotes jaculatrix (banded archerfish), 73 nucleotides long. Lineage: Eukaryota; Metazoa; Chordata; Actinopteri; Toxotidae. The record is from the annotation of a RefSeq genome assembly.